This is a long non-coding RNA of Elaeis guineensis (African oil palm), 559 nucleotides long. RefSeq lists it as uncharacterized. The record is from RefSeq and is a predicted model, not a curated record. NCBI's taxonomy places the organism in Eukaryota, Viridiplantae, Streptophyta, Magnoliopsida, Arecales, Arecaceae.
ACCUUCAAUAUUUCUUUUGCCCUUAUUCCCCAAGAAGCCUCAAACAAAGCCUCAAGCAUAGUCUCUCCAAAAAUUCCAAAACCUCCCAAAUAUCCAAACCUUGUAAUCUUUGUUUAGGUCAAACAAGAGUUUAUCCCAAAUCCUGAUCCUGUGUUGGUCCUGCACUCAAGUGAAGAGCCUAUUAUCCUUCAAUUCCUAUACUAGCUUCAAGAAGCAAAAUAUUGAGAUGAGAAGCAUUUUGACCAUGAUGAAAAUAGUGAAUUUGGACCUAAACAUUGGGGAGAGCUGGAUCUUGAUUGGGCAGCUUGUAAAGAUGGAAAGAAGCAGUCAACCAAUAGAUAUAAAUCAUGAGAAUAUUGAAGAGAAUUUUAGUAUUGGAAGUUUGAUGACAUUUUAUGAUAGCACCUAUGCAAUUAUGCAAAAUAGUGGUCACUACAUAAUGAUUAACUGGACAGAAGGUGCAAGACCUAGUGCAGGAUUUCUUUUGAUUGAUGGCAAAAGCUAUGUUCUUCAACAAUGUCACUGGAACUCACCCUCUGAGCACAAAUUUUUUGGUGAG